AUACUCUAAUAGUUUAUCCAAAACAUU
This 27-nucleotide transfer RNA is filed under the name Anas crecca (Common teal). RNAcentral's name for it is "partial tRNA-Thr". The record is from RNAcentral. Lineage: Eukaryota; Metazoa; Chordata; Aves; Anseriformes; Anatidae.